AGAGUUUGAUCAUGGCUCAGAAUGAACGCUGGCGGCGUGCCUAACACAUGCAAGUCGAACGAGAACGUCCCGCUUCGGUGGGAUCAGUAAAGUGGCGCACGGGUGAGUAACGCGUGGGUAACCUGCCUCUAAAUUUGGGAUAACUUCGCGAAAGCGUUGCUAAUACCGGAUAUCGUCCUUAGAGCUGUGGCUUCGAGGAUGAAAGGUGACCUAUUCAUGAAAGUUGCCGUUUAGGGAGGGGCUCGCGUACCAUUAGCUUGUUGGUGGGGUAAUGGCCUACCAAGGCGACGAUGGUUAGCUGGUCUGAGAGGAUGAUCAGCCACACUGGAACUGAAACACGGUCCAGACUCCUACGGGAGGCAGCAGUGAGGAAUUUUGCGCAAUGGGGGAAACCCUGACGCAGCAACGCCGCGUGAGUGAAGAAGGCUUUCGAGUCGUAAAGCUCUGUCAAGUGGGAAAAAAUCCUCUCAAUUAAUAGUUGAGAGGUCUGAUGGUACCACUGGAGGAAGUACCGGCUAACUCCGUGCCAGCAGCCGCGGUAAUACGGAGGGUACAAGCGUUGUUCGGAAUUAUUGGGCGUAAAGAGCGUGUAGGCGGUUUGGUUAGUCAGAUGUGAAAGCCCUGGGCUCAACCCAGGAAGUGCAUUUGAUACUACCAUUCUUGAGUAUGGGAGAGGAGAGUGGAAUUCCCAGUGUAGAGGUGAAAUUCGUAGAUAUUGGGAGGAACACCCGUGGCGAAGGCGACUCUCUGGACCAAUACUGACGCUGAGAAGCGAAAGCGUGGGGAGCAAACAGGAUUAGAUACCCUGGUAGUCCACGCCGUAAACGAUGAGAACUAGGUGUAGCGGGUAUUGACCCCUGCUGUGCCGGAGUUAACGCAUUAAGUUCUCCGCCUGGGGAGUACGGUCGCAAGGCUAAAACUCAAAGGAAUUGACGG
RNAcentral lists this ribosomal RNA (936 nucleotides) under uncultured bacterium. RNAcentral's name for it is "bacterial SSU rRNA". It matches the Rfam family "Bacterial small subunit ribosomal RNA", at positions 8 to 916 of the family's 1533-position model. The record is from RNAcentral.